CCUACGGGAGGCAGCAGUGGGGAAUAUUGGACAAUGGGCGAAAGCCUGAUCCAGCAAUGCCGCGUGAGUGAUGAAGGCCUUCGGGUCGUAAAGCUCUUUUACCAGGGAUGAUAAUGACAGUACCUGGAGAAUAAGCUCCGGCUAACUCCGUGCCAGCAGCCGCGGUAAUACGGAGGGAGCUAGCGUUGUUCGGAAUUACUGGGCGUAAAGAGUACGUAGGCGGUUAUUCAAGUCAGAGGUGAAAGCCCGGGGCUCAACCCCGGAACUGCCUUUGAAACUAGAUAACUAGAGUCUUGGAGAGGUUAGUGGAAUUCCGAGUGUAGAGGUGAAAUUCGUAGAUAUUCGGAAGACACCAGUGGCGAAGGCGACUAACUGGACAAGUACUGACGCUGAGGUACGAAAGCGUGGGGAGCAAACAGGAUUAGAUACCCUGGUAGUCCACGCCGUAAACGAUGAUAACUAGUUGUUCGGUCACUUGGUGACUGAGUGACGCAGCUAACGCAUUAAGUUAUCCGCCUGGGGAUACGGUCGCAAGAUUAAACCANAAGAUGACGNNGAGAGNGCGACGACGACGACGAGGAGAG
This 584-nucleotide ribosomal RNA is filed under the name uncultured bacterium. RNAcentral describes it as "bacterial SSU rRNA". It matches the Rfam family "Bacterial small subunit ribosomal RNA", at positions 338 to 942 of the family's 1533-position model. The record is from RNAcentral.